ACACAUGCAAGUCGAACGGCAGCGGACCUUCGGGUGCCGGCGAGUGCGAACGGGUGAGUAAUGUAUCGGAACGUACCUUUCAGUGGGGGAUAACGUAGCGAAAGUUACGCUAAUACCGCAUAUUCUGUGAGCAGGAAAGCAGGGGAUCGCAAGACCUUGCGCUGAUUGAGCGGCCGAUAUCAGAUUAGCUAGUUGGUGAGGUAAAGGCUCACCAAGGCGACGAUCUGUAGCGGGUCUGAGAGGAUGAUCCGCCACACUGGAACUGAGACACGGUCCAGACUCCUACGGGAGGCAGCAGUGGGGAAUUUUGGACAAUGGGGGCAACCCUGAUCCAGCCAUGCCGCGUGAGUGAAGAAGGCCUUCGGGUUGUAAAGCUCUUUCGUCCGGGAAGAAAUCGCAUCAGCUAAUACCUGGUGGGAUGACGGUACCGGAUAAGAAGCACCGGCUA
This 448-nucleotide ribosomal RNA is filed under the name uncultured bacterium. Its description in RNAcentral is "bacterial SSU rRNA". It matches the Rfam family "Bacterial small subunit ribosomal RNA", at positions 51 to 499 of the family's 1533-position model. The record is from RNAcentral.